AUUGAACGCUGGCGGCAGGCCUAACACAUGCGAGUCGAACGGUAGCACAGAGAGCUUGCUCUCGGGUGACGAGUGGCGGACGGGUGAGUAAUGUCUGGGAAACUGCCCGAUGGAGGGGGAUAACUACUGGAAACGGUAGCUAAUACCGCAUAAUGUCGCAAGACCAAAGAGGGGGACCUUCGGGCCUCUUGCCAUCGGAUGUGCCCAGAUGGGAUUAGCUUGUUGGUGAGGUAAUGGCUCACCAAGGCGACGAUCCCUAGCUGGUCUGAGAGGAUGACCAGCCACACUGGAACUGAGACACGGUCCAGACUCCUACGGGAGGCAGCAGUGGGGAAUAUUGCACAAUGGGCGCAAGCCUGAUGCAGCCAUGCCGCGUGUGUGAAGAAGGCCUUCGGGUUGUAAAGCACUUUCAGCGGGGAGGAAGGCAAUGCGGUUAAUAACCGUGUUGAUUGACGUUACCCGCAGAAGAAGCACCGGCUAACUCCGUG
Molecule: ribosomal RNA, 488 nt
Filed under: uncultured bacterium
Lineage: Bacteria
Description: partial 16S ribosomal RNA
Rfam family: Bacterial small subunit ribosomal RNA
Source: RNAcentral